This 301-nucleotide ribosomal RNA is filed under the name uncultured bacterium. RNAcentral describes it as "partial 16S ribosomal RNA". It matches the Rfam family "Bacterial small subunit ribosomal RNA", at positions 509 to 809 of the family's 1533-position model. The record is from RNAcentral.
CAGUAGCCACGGUAAUACGUAGGUGGCAAGCGUUGUCCGGAAUUAUUGGGCGUAAAGGGCUCGCAGGCGGUUUCUUAAGUCUGAUGUGAAAGCCCCCGGCUCAAUCGGGGAGGGUCAUUGGAAACUGGGAAACUUGAGUGCAGAAGAGGAGAGUGGAAUUCCACGUGUAGCGGUGAAAUGCGUAGAGAUGUGGAGGAACACCAGUGGCGAAGGCGACUCUCUGGUCUGUAACUGACGCUGAGGAGCGAAAGCGUGGGGAGCGAACAGGAUUAGAUACCCCGGUAGUCCCUGUCUCUUAUAU